Molecule: ribosomal RNA, 460 nt
Filed under: uncultured bacterium
Lineage: Bacteria
Description: bacterial SSU rRNA
Rfam family: Bacterial small subunit ribosomal RNA
Source: RNAcentral
GGGCCCGCACAAGCAGUGGAGUAUGUGGAUUAAUUCGAAGCAACGCGAAGAACCUUACCAGGUCUUGACAUCGUAUGCAUAGCUCAGAGAUGAGUGAAAUCUCUUCGGAGACAUAUAGACAGGUGGUGCAUGGUUGUCGUCAGCUCGUGUCGUGAGAUGUUGGGUUAAGUCCCGCAACGAGCGCAACCCUUACUGUUAGUUGCUACGCAAGAGCACUCUAGCAGGACUGCCGUUGACAAAACGGAGGAAGGUGGGGAUGACGUCAAAUCAUCAUGCCCCUUAUGACCUGGGCCUCACACGUACUACAAUGGCUGUAAACAGAGGGAUGCAAAGCCGCGAGGUAGAGCGAACCCCUAAAAGCAGUCUUAGUUCGGAUUGUAGGCUGCAACCCGCCUACAUGAAGUCGGAAUUGCUAGUAAUCGCAGAUCAGCAUGCUGCGGUGAAUACGUUCCCGGGCCUU